This 497-nucleotide ribosomal RNA is filed under the name uncultured bacterium. RNAcentral describes it as "bacterial SSU rRNA". It matches the Rfam family "Bacterial small subunit ribosomal RNA", at positions 9 to 519 of the family's 1533-position model. The record is from RNAcentral.
GAGUUUGAUCCUGGCUCAGAUUGAACGCUGGCGGCACGCCUUACACAUGCAAGUCGAGCGGUCAAAAUGAGGGACUUGCUCCCGAAAGACGAGCGGCGGACGGGUGAGUAACGCGCGGGAACGCGCCCUUUGGCGGGGGACAACCUUGGGAAACCAGGGCUAAUACCGCAUAAUCUCUACGGGUAAAGCGGGGGAUCUUCGGACCUCGCGCCAUUGGAGCGCCCGUGUCCGAUUAGUUUGACGGCGGGUAACAGCCCACCGUGCUACAAUCGGAGCUGGUCUGAGAGGAUGAUCAGCCACACCGGGCUGAGGCACGCCCGGCUCCUACGGGAGGAGCAGUGGGGAUAUUGGACAUGGGGCAACCCUGAUCCAGCGAUGCGCGUGUGUGAAGAAGCCUUCGGUUGUAAAGACUUUCGCAGGGGAGAACUUCGCCUCUAACAUAGCGCGCACUGACGGACCCCGAGAAGAAGCGCCGCUAACUCCGUGCCGCAGCCGCG